CACCGCGGUUAUACGAGAGGCUCAAGUUUACAGAAAACGGCGUAAAGAGUGGUUAAUAGCUAUUAAACUAGAGCCGAACACCUUCCAGGCUGUUAUACGCACCUGAAGACAGGAAGCCCCAUAACGAAAGUGGCUUUAAGCAACUAUGACCCCACGAAAGCUAGGGAA
Molecule: ribosomal RNA, 168 nt
Filed under: Chriolepis dialepta
Lineage: Eukaryota; Metazoa; Chordata; Actinopteri; Gobiiformes; Gobiidae
Description: partial 12S rRNA
Source: RNAcentral